UACGGAGGGGUCCGAGCGUUAAUCGGAAUUACUGGGCGUAAAAGCGUGCGCAGGCGGUUUUGUUAAGCGAGAUGUGAAAGCCCUGGGCUCAACCUAGGAAUAGCAUUUUCGAACUGGCGAACUAGAGUCUUGUAGAGGGGGGUAGAAUUCCAGGUGUAGCGGUGAAAUGCGUAGAGAUCUGGAGGAAUACCGGUGGCGAAGGCGGCCCCCUGGACAAAGACUGACGCUCAUGCACGAAAGCGUGGGGAGCAAACAGG
Molecule: ribosomal RNA, 257 nt
Filed under: uncultured bacterium
Lineage: Bacteria
Description: partial 16S ribosomal RNA
Rfam family: Bacterial small subunit ribosomal RNA
Source: RNAcentral